CUACGGGGUGCAGCAGUGAGGAAUAUUGCGCAAUGGGGGAAACCCUGACGCAGCGACGCCGCGUGGAUGAUGAAGGCCUUCGGGUCGUAAAAUCCUGUCAGAAGGAAAGAAGUAUAUGGUAGCUAAUAUCUGCCAUAUUUGACGGUACCUUCAAAGGAAGCACCGGCUAACUCCGUGCCAGCAGCCGCGGUAAUACGGAGGGUGCAAGCGUUGUUCGGAAUUACUGGGCGUAAAGCGCGCGUAGGCGGCUGUUUAAGUCAGAUGUGAAAGCCCAUGGCUUAACCAUGGACGUGCAUUUGAUACUGGGCAGCUUGAGUACUGGAGGGGAUGGUGGAAUUCCCGGUGUAGAGGUGAAAUUCGUAGAUAUCGGGAGGAAUACCGGUGGCGAAGGCGACCACCUGGCCAGAUACUGACGCUGAGGUGCGAAAGCGUGGGGAGCAAACAGGAUUAGAUACCCCAGUAGUC
RNAcentral lists this ribosomal RNA (465 nucleotides) under uncultured bacterium. RNAcentral's name for it is "partial 16S ribosomal RNA". It matches the Rfam family "Bacterial small subunit ribosomal RNA", at positions 339 to 795 of the family's 1533-position model. The record is from RNAcentral.